CAAAGGGCCAGAACAAAUGCUCCAGUUGACACUUCAAGAGAAAAUUCGCAACCAAUCAUGUGGGGAAGCACAUCAGAAGAUAAAGAUUCAAUAGAGUUGCCUUUAUUUGACUUCCAUAGCAUAUUAAUAGUUGCGACCAAUAACUUUGACAUAGUGAACAAACUUGGGCAAGGAGGUUAUGGUCCAGUUUAUAAGGGAACCUUGCAAGAUGGGAACGAUGUGGC
This 224-nucleotide unclassified non-coding RNA is filed under the name Hevea brasiliensis (rubber tree). The record is from RNAcentral. Lineage: Eukaryota; Viridiplantae; Streptophyta; Magnoliopsida; Malpighiales; Euphorbiaceae.